GACGAACGCUGGCGGCGUGCCUAAUACAUGCAAGUCGAGCGCAGGAAACUGACGGAACUCUUCGGAGGGAAGGCAGUGGAAUGAGCGGCGGACGGGUGAGUAACACGUAAGGAACCUGCCUCAAGGAUUGGGAUAACUCCGAGAAAUCGGAGCUAAUACCGGAUAGUUCAACGGACCGCAUGGUCCGCUGAUGAAAGGCGCUUCGGCGUCACCUUGAGAUGGCCUUGCGGUGCAUUAGCUAGUUGGUGGGGUAACGGCCCACCAAGGCGACGAUGCGUAGCCGACCUGGGCGGGUGAUCGGCCACACGGGGACUGAGACACGGCCCAGACUCCUACGGGAGGCAGCAGUAGGGAAUCUUCCACAAUGGACGAAAGUCUGAUGGAGCAACGCCGCGUGAGUGAUGAAGGUUUUCGGAUCGUAAAACUCUGUUGUAAGGGAAGAACACGUACGAGAGGAAAUGCUCGUACCUUGACGGUACCUUACGAGAAAGCCACGGCUAACUACGUGCCAGCCGCCGCAGUAA
RNAcentral lists this ribosomal RNA (524 nucleotides) under uncultured bacterium. RNAcentral describes it as "partial 16S ribosomal RNA". It matches the Rfam family "Bacterial small subunit ribosomal RNA", at positions 28 to 523 of the family's 1533-position model. The record is from RNAcentral.